GUGCCACAAUGUAACCUGAAUAUAAUCUUUUUGCCUAUACUUUUAGUUAUAGUUUUAGUUCAGGUGUGCCGCCAAAUUUUGAAAAGCAUAUAAGUGUGCCACAGGUGAAAAAACGUCCCUAGAAAACACACACA
This is a long non-coding RNA of Octopus sinensis (East Asian common octopus), 134 nucleotides long. RefSeq lists it as uncharacterized. The transcript is spliced from 3 exons. NCBI's taxonomy places the organism in Eukaryota, Metazoa, Mollusca, Cephalopoda, Octopoda, Octopodidae. The record is from RefSeq and is a predicted model, not a curated record.